Molecule: long non-coding RNA, 581 nt
Organism: Pieris brassicae (large cabbage white)
Lineage: Eukaryota; Metazoa; Arthropoda; Insecta; Lepidoptera; Pieridae
Exons: 4
Source: RefSeq, a predicted model, not a curated record
GCUGACCUUUGCGGUGUAAUAAAACCUCAUUGCUGGGCCUAAUGGAUUUCGGGCAUGUUUUAAGAUUUAAAGCUUUCAGCAUUUUCGCAGGCCCUUCGACAUUGCAUUUGAUUUGGCGACUUGAAUUGAAGAAAUCGUUUCAAAGGGAAAAACGAACGAUCAUGGUUGUUGACCUGCCACAAAAGAUAUGGUAACUAAUCAUACAGACACCGGUCACCCUUCCGUGGUUCAUACAUUCGUGGAACAAGACAAAACAUUUGAUGACUACUGUUAAUGAUUUUUAAAUAAACAAACUGUAAAAUUGACUUUACAACUAAACAACAUAAAAAAUCACCCCAUGCGCAUCACAUGACCCAAAAACCAGUCUCUUUAAUAGCGUGUCCAACGUACUAAUAAUCUGUUAAACGAGCCUGGUACAAGAACAAAUUACUUAUUUAUUGGAUUCUGAUUUUCUAGAUGACUGUUUACCAACCUAAAUAUUUAAAUCAAUAUUUAAUGUAAUGUAAGAAAAGCUUUCGAUUUUUUGCUUUUGAGAUUCGUGCUAAAAGGGGCUUAAGGCUAAAAGAUACAAUUAAAUAAGA